Grus americana (Whooping crane) is the source of this 3629-nucleotide long non-coding RNA. RefSeq lists it as uncharacterized. NCBI's taxonomy places the organism in Eukaryota, Metazoa, Chordata, Aves, Gruiformes, Gruidae. The record is from RefSeq and is a predicted model, not a curated record. The transcript is spliced from 4 exons.
ACUACUGACAGGAGAGGGGUUUGCAUUGAAUGCCUGAGCCUCAGGAAAGGCUUGGCUAUUACCAAGCUGAAGUGAGGGUACGUAUAAAAAUACUAGGGCAGAGGAUUUUAUCCAGGCUAAUUUGUACAUAUCAGUUACCCUGUCCUUACAUAUCCUCAUCCUCACCUUCAGGAGUGCCGUCCAAGGGUCAUCUAGGAUGGAUAUCUCCAAAAUGUCAUGCGGGUGACUGAGUUCAGGAGGAAGAGCUGCCCUAUACGCUGCACGGCAUGGCUGGUCCUCAUCCAUUUCUGCCACAGCAAAACUCAGGCUCAGGCUCUGAGCAACGGGAGCUGUCUGUUGCACGAGAGCAGCUCUGUUCUGCUUGCAGAGGUUUGUCAUGGAGUUUCUAUUGCUGGAGGCUUCUGGGAAUAGGAUCAUCUCUACAGACACCUUUCCUGAAUGCCACAGAGCUUUCCUUGGGUCAGGGAGGUGGAAGAGGAUGAAGACACAGAGCAUCAAAGCUGAAUCCUCCACUGGUCCAGAAGAGAUCCAGCAAACUCCUGGAAGAAAAGCAAGUUAAGACUAUAAGCAGGCGUUGCUGUUGCCCACAUGGGAAAGCAAACCACAGAGACAUCAUGACAUCCAGAAGAACACGGACCUGAAUGAUUUGGCCAGGUCACAUCUGGAUCUAAGUUCUCCCAAGUUCCCUGUGAAUGUGACAAUAUUUCUUUGGUAAUGUUCUUCAUAUCGUCUUGUUAAUAUUUAGUUUCUUAAGAGAUCAAAGGGAUUGGAAGGGAUUCCCAGUCCCUGAGCCCAGUCCCUGGCUUUUGGAAAGCUGCCGUUACUCUUCUGGUUAGGAACUUUUUGGUUGCUAAACUACUCAUAUUCAUGACCAACUUGUUCACAAUUGCUUUUAUGUUUUUUUUCUGUUUAAAAUUUCCAGCAUUAAAGGAUAUGUUUGAGAAAGAAAAGCUGAAGUUAUAAUUUGCCAUGUCUCUGAAGGGUUUAAUAACAGCAGAGUUGAGACUCCUGGAUGUGCUUAUUAAAGAGCUAAAUCUUAGAUCGUGAGAAGCUAUGGCAUGUUUAUUGAAUGCAACAGCCAAUUAAUAAGUAAUUAAUAGUUCAGCAAAGUUUAGUGUAUUGAGGUAGGUUUUGAGGAACAGGGAAUCAUUUCCUGGCAUCAGGAAAUGCAGGAAUAUGAUGAAAAUCACAAAAUGUCACUCAGGGUUGGACCUUACAACGGGUACUAAGGGCAAAGGGGUAAAGCUUCUUCUGCCGUUCAAAUAAAAAGAGAGCAGUAAAGAUCUGUAGCUGCGAUAAUGGAGAGGUGGAGAUGAGAUUAAGGGCAGGUUCAGGCAGCAUGCAAAAUGAAGCAAGUACUUGGUGUUCAAAUGAUGUAGUAAUUGCUCACCAUGGGUUGGCCAAAGGGAACAAAGUCAUGGGUGUGAGAAGAGGUCACAAUUAAAGUGAGAGCCAAUCUCAGAAUAACUGAGAUAAUGAACUCUGGGGAAGGGGACUCAAUAACCUCCAUCCAGAAUUCGGCAUGACUUAGCAUGCCAAAGCACACUUCUUGUAGCAAAUGCAUUCAGUAGAUUUAGCAGGUUUGGGGUGACUGGGUAUGACUGCAGAGUAACAAGUGUAGUACCUAUAUCUGAAACAGAAAAAAAAGUGCCUCUGGCUUGCUAUUGUGACCCGAGUGUUAAUAAAAGCUGUACGAUAAAGGUUGAAUGAAAAAUAUCAAAAACAGUUAAGUGAAUGGCAAAUGAAAUUGCAUAUAUCGUGGUCUACCACCGGUAAAUUGUGCCAGAAUAAUUUGAUGUAGUUCUGUGAUAAGAAAACUGCUUCCCUACGUGAAAGAAUUAAGGAUACCUCCCCAGAGAUAUUACUACGAGUGGAAGUGAACUGUCUUCUGCAGCAGCAAGAUGUGGCACAUCCACCUUUCUAAUUCAAAGCCGAGAGCUCCUAUUUCAAUGUUCACUGCUCCAAAUAAAGGCAGACUGAGGCCCCGUUUGGAGCUUUGUAGAUUAAAUGCCUUCAGGUUCAGAAAAGACACAUUGGUUCAUUGCCUUCAUUACAGCAAGAGUGUUUGUUUGGCUCUCCCAGAAAAAUAGGUAAAUAAUUAAACCGGAUCGUUCUAUUCAGAUAAUUGCUUGAUACACAAAAGGCUCUUGACUUCCUAAAUCGUACAAAUCCUUACCGGCAGUGGGCAUCUCCCUUUGGGCUCUGCUGUGAUGUUGAGAACAUUUGCCAAGAACAUAGUGGAAAAAAAAGACUAUUUAUGCUGGCUUUAGCCAUGUUGAUUUAUUAUUUGUAGCCCUUAUUAUUUGGCUAGUAUAAAACAAACUGCUGUACACAUCCAGCUCACCAUUUCCCAGGACAGCAGGGAAUCAGGACACCUUGGAUAACAAAGUGCAAGGAUGACACCAGCACACUGAGGACUUGGUGCAGAGCUACUCAGACACAUGGGACCCACAUUGCAGAGCCAAAUCAGUGUAUUUGCAUGGUCCCUACAACCUGUGUCUCCUAGGGCACUAAUUUCCCUAACCACAGUAUCUGUAUGUUUGAAAUGCACCACAUCUGCACCAGUAAUCGCUCCCAGAGACAAGGGGACAUGCUUCAGAAAUCCCAGUCGCUGCUUCCUCCUCUUGGUCCUGGGGAAACUCCUGUCUCCUUCCUGGGCUCCCCCAGCUCUGUCUGCACUGCAAUGUUGGACUAGACGCAGCAGCGCUGUGCAGAGAAACACAAACUCUCCUGAAUGAAGACGGGUAAUGCCCACGGUGCAGGAAAACAGGGCGAUUUGGAAGAGAGCUGUGCCUGGAAGCACUGUGGCCAACCUAAUGUUAGCAGCGUAGGCAAUAUAUAACAUGGAUAAUCUGCCUAUGGAUAAGAGAGUUGGUGUAUAUAUAAAGUAAGUUUUAAAAACACAGCCAAAACAAAAUGUUUAGGUAGUGUCAAAAUGAAAUAUUUAGGGGAUUUUUCUAACAUGCUUUGUAACUCAACUUAGGCCAAAAUAUAAUUUUGGUAUCUUGAAAUUUCCUGAAGGAUAGCAAUUUCAGUUUUAUACCAGCUUUUAGUACAGAUUUCACCCUGUGUUUUGUAUCUCAACUUGGGGUUGAUUUAAAGCAGACCUUUAGAAAGGAGACACGCAAUUUAAGUUUAAAGACUCCCAUUGAUCCACCACAUGCUUCACUGAGUUACUGUUGUAAAUGUAUACCUUAUCUCUAAUCAUUCCGUCCUGUUCUGCAUUAAAGGGCAAUCCAUGUUCAGACAGACAAAGAAGGUCUGUGUAUGUCAAAGGAAAUGAUUUUUCUAUGAAAUAACGUGAUUUGGGAAAGCAACUUUUGCUUCAAAUGAUUUUUAGUACACUUUUAACUUCAAAAAUUCCUUUUGGUUGAAUCAUCAUUGAUAGUGCCAUUAAUCCUGAUUAUUGUUAGUUAUCGAAUGUUAUUUCUAAUGAAAAUUUUCAUUGCAUUUGAAGCUGUAGUUUGCUCCUUCCUAGCACCAAAAUAAUCACACAAGGGCUUAGAGUUCAGAGCAAUGAUCUGUCAAACUAUAUAGCUCUUGGAUAUCAUUAACAAGUUAUUUGAUAAUUACUUCCUAAUAUGUUUCGAAUCCUUUGUUAAAAUCAUUCAUUUAAAGUUCAUAAAACU